UGACUUGUGGCCUAGUGGAUAAGGAGAUUGACUGGAGAUUAGAAUGUUGCUGGUUCGAUACCCUGGGAGUCAA
Molecule: non-coding RNA, 73 nt
Organism: Danionella cerebrum
Lineage: Eukaryota; Metazoa; Chordata; Actinopteri; Cypriniformes; Danionidae
Source: the annotation of a GenBank genome assembly